RNAcentral lists this unclassified non-coding RNA (222 nucleotides) under plant metagenome. Its description in RNAcentral is "partial contains small subunit ribosomal RNA, internal transcribed spacer 1, and 5.8S ribosomal RNA". The record is from RNAcentral.
UCUCCGUAGGUGAACCUGCGGAGGGAUCAUUACAGAGUUCAUGCCCUCACGGGUAGAUCUCCCACCCUGUGUUAUUAUACUUUGUUGCUUUGGCAGGCCGCCCGCGUGGGCUACCGGCUCCAGCUAGUAAGUGCCUGCCAGAGGACCCCAAACUCUGAAUAUUUUAUUGUCUGAGUACUAUAUAAUAGUUUAAAACUUUCAACAACGGAUCUCUUGGUUCUG